AGUGAACGCUGGCGGUAGGCCUAACACAUGCAAGUCGAACGGCAGCACAGUAAGAGCUUGCUCUUACGGGUGGCGAGUGGCGGACGGGUGCGGAAUACAUCGGAAUCUACUUUUUCGUGGGGGAUAACGUAGGGAAACUUACGCUAAUACCGCAUACUACCUACGGGUGAAAGCAGGGGAUCUUCGGACCUUGCGCGAUUGAAUGAGCCGAUGUCGGAUUAGCUAGUUGGCGGGGUAAAGGCCCACCAAGGCGACGAUCCGUAGCUGGUCUGAGAGGAUGAUCAGCCACACUGGAACUGAGACACGGUCCAGCCUCCUACGGGAGGCAGCAGUGGGGAAUAUUGGACAAUGGGCGCAAGCCUGAUCCAGCCAUACCGCGUGGGUGAAGAAGGCCUUCGGGUUGUAAAGCCCUUUUGUUGGGAAAGAAAAGCAGCAGGUUAAUACCCCGCUGUUCUGACGGUACCCAAAGAAUAAGCACCGGCUAACUUCGU
Molecule: ribosomal RNA, 491 nt
Filed under: uncultured bacterium
Lineage: Bacteria
Description: partial 16S ribosomal RNA
Rfam family: Bacterial small subunit ribosomal RNA
Source: RNAcentral